RNAcentral lists this transfer RNA (64 nucleotides) under Neurobasis chinensis. Its description in RNAcentral is "tRNA-Asn". Lineage: Eukaryota; Metazoa; Arthropoda; Insecta; Odonata; Calopterygidae. The record is from RNAcentral.
UUAAUUGAAGCCAAAAAGAGGCAUACCAUUGUUAAUGGUAAUACUGAAUGAUAAUCCAAUUAAG